This 704-nucleotide ribosomal RNA is filed under the name uncultured Actinomycetes bacterium. RNAcentral's name for it is "bacterial SSU rRNA". It matches the Rfam family "Bacterial small subunit ribosomal RNA", at positions 59 to 780 of the family's 1533-position model. The record is from RNAcentral. Lineage: Bacteria; Bacillati; Actinomycetota; Actinomycetes.
AAGUCGAGCGGAAAGGCCUUCGGGGUACUCGAGCGGCGAACGGGUGAGGAACACGUGAGUAAUCUGCCCUGCGCUCUGGGAUAGCCACCGGAAACGGUGAUUAAUACCGGAUAGGACCACUUCACGCAUGUGAUGGUGGUGGAAAGUUUUUUCGGCGCAGGAUGUGCUCGCGGCCUAUCAGCUUGUUGGUGAGGUAACGGCUCACCAAGGCUUUGACGGGUAACCGGCCUGAGAGGGUGACCGGUCACACUGGGACUGAGACACGGCCCAGACUCCUACGGGAGGCAGCAGUGGGGAAUAUUGGACAAUGGGCGGAAGCCUGAUCCAGCAACGCCGCGUGAGGGAUGACGGCCUUCGGGUUGUAAACCUCUUUCAGUACCGACGAAGCGCAAGUGACGGUAGGUACAGAAGAAGGACCGGCCAACUACGUGCCAGCAGCCGCGGUAAUACGUAGGGUCCGAGCGUUGUCCGGAAUUAUUGGGCGUAAAGGGCUCGUAGGCGGUUUGUCGCGUCGGGAGUGAAAACACCGGGCUUAACUCGGUGCUUGCUUUCGAUACGGGCAGACUAGAGGUAUGCAGGGGAGAAUGGAAUUCCUGGUGUAGCGGUGAAAUGCGCAGAUAUCAGGAGGAACACCGGUGGCGAAGGCGGUUCUCUGGGCAUUACCUGACGCUGAGGAGCGAAAGUAUGGGGAGCGAACAGGAUUA